ACUAAACAAAUCUAAAAAAAUAUUUAAAAAUAAAAAGAUGUAGAACAGGGCCACCUGACAGGCUCAGAUGGAAAACUCAGCAUCACGGAUUGCUGGGUCCACAUGAGCUUCCCUUGGUGGAAGCAGCCUGCCCAUCUAUGCUUUCCCCUCUCUCACAUGUGAAGACUGUAAUAGUCUCACUUGGGGCAGUUGGCUUAUAAGAGGAUGUGGAGCAUCUUCAAGACACAUCCCAGCUUCCAUUUGCCCCUAGAUGCGUAUAACUAAAGAGACUAAAUUAGAAGCCUGACAUGGGAGGGAAGAGCCGGUACUGUGCCGUGGUUGCGGAACCACAGUUGAAGAUGCAAGAAGCUGGCGCUUACCACAUCCUCAUCAACUCCCCUUCUCAAAAGGCAUACGAAUCUUGGGGAAUUAUCGUGGGCACCUGUAAACUACACUCCGAUGUACUCUUCUAGGGGGAUGUAUGUUAGAACAGAUCAAUAUUUUGCUGGAAGCUGGUCUGCCUAUCAACUCGAGAGUGAUUUUUUUUUUUCACCUUCCCAAUCUGUAAACACCACGAGAAGCAACCUUCUUUUAUCAGUGAGGACUAAUUGUGUUUUCAGUCUUGCUUCAGAAUUAUGCUAGCUGUCCUGUCUUGUCCUACUAUGUUCAGAAAAGCCUUAGGCAUUUCGACAUUCCUUUCACUAUUACAAUAGAGUACUGGAUCCCAUGUGCUCAUUACACCUGAUGAGCAGAAAUGGGCAAGUUCUUGCAAAUACCUUAUUUUUAUUUUAUGGAUGCAACUGUUUUACCUGCAUGUAUAUAUAUACCCAUGACUGCCUGUGGAGGUCCUAUGGGGGCAUUGGAUCCCCUGGAACUAGAGUUACAGACAGUUGUGAGCUCCAUGUGGGUAUUGGGAAUUGAAUCUAGGCUCUAUACAAGAACAGUAAGCAUUUUUAACCUCUGAGCUACCCCUGCAGUCCAAGUUAUUGACCGAUACCUUAAUCUCUGAACUGAAGGGCAGGUGAUGAAUUCCAUGACAGUUAAGGAGUCUGUCUCCUCAGUGAAGUUUCUUUUUGUCAAUAUUUUUAUUAUAUUUUAUUUAUUUGUCUGUUUGUUGUGUGUGUGCAUGCACACUCAAGUGCAAAUGCACACGCACAUACAUAUGCCUGUUCAUAUGCACACAGGCGUGAAGGCGUGUAUCAUUCAAUCAGAACCAGCCUGUGGAAGUCAGAGGACAAUUUCCCAGAAUCACUCAUCUCCUUCCAUCAUGUGUAUCCCAGGGAUUGAUCAUAGGUCAUCAGGCUUGGCAACACCUUGCCUUUACCAUCUCAGCAUCUCACCAACUGCCUAGGUGAAGUUUCCAGACUUAAGUCCUGACAGCUCCUAAAAAGGGCAUCCUACACUGUGGAAUGGCAUUGGCCUGUGCACUGAAUGUCUGUGGUUUCCAGUCCUGCAUCUCCUUGCUGCUCGUCUUUCAUUCCAGUCACCGAGAAGGUUGCCUAGAGAAGCAGAAGCUGUCAUGAUGGCACCACAUCCCUGCAGCCUGCCUAAGGAGUGCUUCCAACCUCAGGUCCCCAGCUCUGCUUCUUUGCUUGGAGGCUUUCUCCUGGGUUGAGAAAAUCUUGUUCAGCACGCAAGCAGCUUGGGGGUCCUGGGAAUUUCAUGUCUUCAAGGAAAACUUAGCCCGGUAAGGAUGGAAGUUUCUGAUCUCCAUGUGAGACAAUUUAGAGGUGAGUUCUGCAUUCCCUCGAGACUCGCUGUCCACAACACCAGUCAUUGUUAUAGUAACAUAGUCUAGCUUUUGCUUGCUUUCUUCCAUCUCUCUUUGCCCAUACCUUGUGUAUGCUUUCUGGGGAACACCUCCCAAACAAGCCACCUGGGCAACUCCAAACUCAAACUCUUAUGUUUGAGUAUUUGGUUUGGUUCCAGUUGGCAUGGCCUUGUCGAAAAAGAUGCAUCACUGGAUAUAGGCUUUGAGUUUUCAAAAGACAUGUACCCCGUGGGCCUCUUUGCUUCCUGUUUGUGGAUCAAGCUGAGAGCUCUCAGCUAUUGUUUCAGUGCCAUGUCUACCUGCUUGCCUGCCUACUGCCAUGCUCCCUAUCAUGAUGGUGACAAACUCCUAUCCCUCUAGAACUGUAAAAUCCAAAUACACUCUUCCUUCUAAAA
Mus musculus (house mouse) is the source of this 2145-nucleotide long non-coding RNA. RefSeq annotates it as predicted gene, 41039. The transcript has 2 exons. The record is from RefSeq and is a predicted model, not a curated record. NCBI's taxonomy places the organism in Eukaryota, Metazoa, Chordata, Mammalia, Rodentia, Muridae.